Molecule: long non-coding RNA, 327 nt
Filed under: Oncorhynchus mykiss (rainbow trout)
Lineage: Eukaryota; Metazoa; Chordata; Actinopteri; Salmoniformes; Salmonidae
Description: lncRNA (ENSOMYG00000055452.1)
Source: RNAcentral
GGAGUGGGUCCCUGUGGAGUCAGCUAGAGGAGACACAGACAGUAACUAGAGUUAGACAGACAGGUUCAUAGUCCUUAUAGGUGGUGUACAGGGAGUGGGUCCCUGUGGAGUCAGCUAGAGGAGACACAGACAGUAACUAGAGUUAGACAGACAGGUUCAUAGUCCUUAUAGGUGGUGUACAGGGAGUGGGUCCCUGUGGAGUCAGCUGGAGGAGAGACAGACAGUAGAGUUAGACAGACAGUAGAGUUAGACAGACAGGUUCAUAGUCCUUAUAGGUGGUAUAGAGGGAGUGGGUCCCUGUGGAGUCAGCUGGAGGAGAGACAGACA